Non-coding RNA from Cinara cedri, 609 nucleotides. The record is from the annotation of a GenBank genome assembly. Lineage: Eukaryota; Metazoa; Arthropoda; Insecta; Hemiptera; Aphididae.
GUGGAAUAACAAUGUAUAUCUGUAUUUUAGCCUAUAUGUAUGCUCUAUAUUAUUUUACUAUAAUAUAAUAUAGAACGUACAAAUAGGUAAUAAUUUUGAUACAAAAUCAAUAACUGAUAAAUUAUUCGUGAUAAUUCUUCUUUUCUCUUUUCUUCUUUUUAUUUUUCUUCAUCUUAGUUCUUAUCCAUUUCGAAUGUUACUGACCAGUGUAACUAUUUUAUCUUUAUCUGCGGUUUCCCUGAAGAUUUCAAUCGGUGUUUCGUUGUAUCAUGUCCUUAAAUUUUGCAUCUGUUCGUGGGCAAUCAGAAUUUUUUAUUCCAUUGUUUCUUCCUUGAAUAAUAGACUGCAACCAUCCGUAUUUUGUUUCAUUUCUCAUAGGUCCAAGAUAUAGCCGAUUUAUCGGAGAAAAAACACAUCCUACCCGUAUAGCAAAAAACAAAAUAUAGUUUUCUUUUUCAUACACUUUUAAAAUCUAAAAUUGUCGUAAAAAAUAUCCAACUUUUUAAAUUUACGAACGAAAAUCGCCUAGGUUAUCCGUAGAUAUUGAUAUAACCGAAAGUAAAUAAAAUCGCUAUAAUUGACUUUACAGACGUAAACUUUAUAACAUGC